GACGAACGCUGGCGGCGUGCCUAAUACAUGCAAGUAGAACGCACAGUUUAUACCGUAGCUUGCCACACCAUAGACUGUGAGUUGCGAACGGGUGAGUAACGCGUAGGUAACCUGCCUGGUAGCGGGGGGUAACUAUUGGAAACGAUAGCUAAUACCGCAUAAUAUUGAUUAUUGCAUGAUAAUUGAUUGAAAGAUGCUAUUGCAUCACUACCAGAUGGACCUGCGUUGUAUUAGCUAGUAGGGGAGGUAACGGCUCACCUAGGCGACGAUACAGAGCCGACCUGAGAGGGUGAUCGGCCCCACUGGGACUGGGACACGGCCCAGACUCCUACGGGAGGCAGCAGUAGGGAAUCUUCGGCAAUGGACGAAAGUCUGACCGAGCAACGCCGCGUGAGUGAAGAAGGUUCUCGGAUCGUAAAGCUCUGUUGUAAGAGAAGAACGGGUGUGAGAGUGGAAAGUUCACACUGUGACGGUAUCUUACCAGAAAGGGACGGCUAACUACGUG
Molecule: ribosomal RNA, 505 nt
Filed under: uncultured bacterium
Lineage: Bacteria
Description: partial 16S ribosomal RNA
Rfam family: Bacterial small subunit ribosomal RNA
Source: RNAcentral